This 253-nucleotide ribosomal RNA is filed under the name uncultured bacterium. RNAcentral describes it as "partial 16S ribosomal RNA". It matches the Rfam family "Bacterial small subunit ribosomal RNA", at positions 524 to 776 of the family's 1533-position model. The record is from RNAcentral.
GACGAACCUUGCUAACGUUAUUCGGAAUUACUGGGCGUAAAGGGUGCGUAGGCGGCCGCGCAAGUCUGGCGUGAAAGCCCCGGGCUCAGCCCGGGAAGGGCGCUCGAAACGGCGCGGCUCGAGUGCCGGAGGGGAGAGUGGAAUUCCUGGUGUAGCGGUGAAAUGCGUAGAUAUCGGGAGGAACACCAGUGGCGAAGGCGACUUCCUGGCCUGUUCUUGACGCUGAGGCGCGAAAGCUAGGGGAGCAAACGGG